GGAAUUACUGGGCGUAAAGCGAGCGUAGGUGGCUUGAUAAGUCAGAUGUGAAAUCCCCGGGCUUAACCUGGGAACUGCAUCUGAAACUGUUAGGCUAGAGUAGGUGAGAGGGAAGUAGAAUUUCAGGUGUAGCGGUGAAAUGCGUAGAGAUCUGAAGGAAUACCGAUGGCGAAGGCAGCUUCCUGGCAUCAUACUGACACUGAGGCUCGAAAGCGUGGGUAGCAAACAGGAUUAGAUACCCUGGUAGUCCACGCCGUAAACGAUGUCUACUAGUCGUUGGGUCCCUUGAGGACUUAGUGACGCAGCUAACGCAAUAAGUAGACCGCCUGGGGAGUACGGCCGAAGGUUAAAACUCAAAUGAAUUGACGGGGGCCCGCACAAGCGGUGGAGCAUGUGGUUUCAAUUCGAUGCACGCGA
Molecule: ribosomal RNA, 417 nt
Filed under: Psychrobacter sp. UST050418-464
Lineage: Bacteria; Pseudomonadati; Pseudomonadota; Gammaproteobacteria; Moraxellales; Moraxellaceae
Description: bacterial SSU rRNA
Rfam family: Bacterial small subunit ribosomal RNA
Source: RNAcentral